Regulatory RNA element from Cellulomonas flavigena DSM 20109, 98 nucleotides. It matches the Rfam family "SAM riboswitch aptamer (S box leader)". Rfam says of the family: The SAM riboswitch is found upstream of a number of genes which code for proteins involved in methionine or cysteine biosynthesis in Gram-positive bacteria. The SAM riboswitch acts at the level of transcription termination control. The predicted structure consists of a complex stem-loop region followed by a single stem loop terminator region. Lineage: Bacteria; Bacillati; Actinomycetota; Actinomycetes; Micrococcales; Cellulomonadaceae. The record is from Rfam.
CGACCAUCCAGAGCGGCCGAGAGAUCUGGCUCGACGACGCCGCAGCAACCCGCACGGGAGACCGUGGCCGAGGGUGCUACCGCCAGAGACGAUGGGAG